Molecule: ribosomal RNA, 480 nt
Filed under: Acinetobacter baumannii
Lineage: Bacteria; Pseudomonadati; Pseudomonadota; Gammaproteobacteria; Moraxellales; Moraxellaceae
Description: bacterial SSU rRNA
Rfam family: Bacterial small subunit ribosomal RNA
Source: RNAcentral
CAUGCUCAGAUUGAACGCUGGCGGCAGGCUUAACACAUGCAAGUCGAGCGGGGGAAGGUAGCUUGCUACUGGACCUAGCGGCGGACGGGUGAGUAAUGCUUAGGAAUCUGCCUAUUAGUGGGGGACAACAUCUCGAAAGGGAUGCUAAUACCGCAUACGUCCUACGGGAGAAAGCAGGGGAUCUUCGGACCUUGCGCUAAUAGAUGAGCCUAAGUCGGAUUAGCUAGUUGGUGGGGUAAAGGCCUACCAAGGCGACGAUCUGUAGCGGGUCUGAGAGGAUGAUCCGCCACACUGGGACUGAGACACGGCCCAGACUCCUACGGGAGGCAGCAGUGGGGAAUAUUGGACAAUGGGGGGAACCCUGAUCCAGCCAUGCCGCGUGUGUGAAGAAGGCCUUAUGGUUGUAAAGCACUUUAAGCGAGGAGGAGGCUACUUUAGUUAAUACCUAGAGAUAGUGGACGUACUCGCAGAAUAAGCACC